Potamilus streckersoni is the source of this 73-nucleotide non-coding RNA. Lineage: Eukaryota; Metazoa; Mollusca; Bivalvia; Unionida; Unionidae. The record is from the annotation of a GenBank genome assembly.
GCUCCGAUGGCCUAGUGGAAAGAGCAUCCACCUCGGAUGUGGGAGGUCUUGAGUUUGAUUCCCGGCCGAGUCA